Molecule: long non-coding RNA, 243 nt
Organism: Rhineura floridana
Lineage: Eukaryota; Metazoa; Chordata; Lepidosauria; Squamata; Rhineuridae
Exons: 3
Source: RefSeq, a predicted model, not a curated record
CCCCUCGUGUGUAACACCGUUACUAGCCUCUAGACCUUCCGACUGGACCCCUGGCUUUCUGAACUCUGCUUCCCUACCUGGACGACGCUCUUGGACAGUGCUACUGUGAAGCUGACCAGCUCUGCUUUCCUACGGACGAACUUUCAAGCCUGUGCCUUUGCUUUAAGGAGAAACUGACCGGGAGCUCAAAGUGAUGUACAUGGUUCUCCCCUCCCCAUUUUAUCUUCACAACAACCCUGUGAG